UACGAAGGGGCUAGCGUUGCUCGGAAUCACUGGGCGUAAAGCGCACGUAGGCGGAUUGUUAAGUCAGGGGUGAAAUCCUGGAGCUCAACUCCAGAACUGCCUUUGAUACUGGCGAUCUUGAGUCCGGGAGAGGUGAGUGGAACUCCGAGUGUAGAGGUGAAAUUCGUAGAUAUUCGGAAGAACACCAGUGGCGAAGGCGGCUCACUGGCCCGGUACUGACGCUGAUGUGCGAAAGCGUGGGAGCAAACAGG
Molecule: ribosomal RNA, 251 nt
Filed under: uncultured bacterium
Lineage: Bacteria
Description: partial 16S ribosomal RNA
Rfam family: Bacterial small subunit ribosomal RNA
Source: RNAcentral